UUCCGGAUCACUAACGUCUACGCUCCCUCCGAUCAUGCGUUCACGGCGGACUUUGUCGAGGACCUCAUGUCGGUCGCAGCGGGCAUCACUGGCCCCUGGCUGGUGCUUGGGGACUUCAACCUCAUCCGCUUCCCUCACGAGAAGAAUAACGAUCGCUUUGAUGCUUCUCGUGCGGCUGUGUUCAACUCCCUCGUUAACUCUCUUGCUCUGCACGAGCUCGCCCUGUCGGACAGGCUUUUUACUUGGACGAACAGGCGGGAUCCCCCCACCCUCGCUCGUCUGGAUCGCGUCUUCUUUGACCACGCUUGGGACGUCGCCUUCCCGGACUCGGGUCUGUCGUCUCGCCCCCGUUCUACCUCGGAUCAUGUGCCCCCUAGUGGUGGAGGCCGCGACGCGGAUUCCUUCCCCUUCUCGGUUUUUCUUCGAGAAUGCUUGGCUCCGCGAUCCUCAGUUUCUCCCCUCUACCCUCUCGUCCUGGUCGAACACGGGGGCCAGUCGGUGCGCUGUGGGUUGCCUGGCAACUCGCAAGAAAAGGUUCAGGGCCGCGGCCAAGGUUUGGAAAAGGCUACACAAAUACAUUCCUGCUUUUGA
Molecule: ribosomal RNA, 591 nt
Filed under: Triticum aestivum (bread wheat)
Lineage: Eukaryota; Viridiplantae; Streptophyta; Magnoliopsida; Poales; Poaceae
Description: partial small subunit ribosomal RNA
Source: RNAcentral